AUUCAUAUCAUUCCCCCUCGAUAAAAAGAGCCGCCUUCAACUUUUUAAUUCACAGACUCCUCAACAUACCUCUGUCAGCCGAGGACUACAAGAAGGAAAUAAAUAUGAUAUAUCAAAUAGGCAACGACAACCAGUAUACAAGAGAAUACAUUGACCAAAUUCUCACUUCUAUAAAGAGAAAACAACUUUUGAAGAAAAUUUACCCCCACAUUGCAAUUAAGAAACACUUCAUAAGUAUACCAUAUUACGAAGACUUACACCAGCAUACCCAACAGAUUAUGAAUAAAUACGAUUACACCAUAAUGAAUAGCCGACAUAGAACCCUAGAAAAUUUAUUACUGAAUAACAAAAAUAAGAAAAAACCAGAAGAACAGAGUGGAGUAUACAAUAUUAACUGCUCAGACUGUCCUGCAUUCUAUAUCGGUAUGACGACACGUAACAUGAAAAAGCGAUUCAAUGAACACCAAAAAAAUCAACCUAGAUCUGCACUAGGAAACCACCUGAAUGAAUCAAAUCAUAACACAAAAUUUGAAAAUUUAAAGAUCCUACAUAAAGAAAGUAAUUACUAUAAAUUAACACUAUUAGAACAGCACGAAAUUUUAAAAAACAAAGAUAGUCAACAUUUACUAAACGAAAUGUCUGAUUUCACCAUACGCGACAAUAGUAUUUUCAAAUUAAUAAAUUCCCGCCAAUAAUUGUUCCAAAGAUAGACAUAUGCCAUACUACGUAAACAGACUUCCUCACUUUCGUCUAAUCUAAAAUCAACACAACCACGCAAGAAAAAUUCUUCGAAGAAUAUAAUUGAUAUUUAUUGUCAAAAUAAAAACUUUAAAUUGCAUAUUGAAGAUCAAAUCGAUGAAUAUAUACUAUCUAUCAUACGUAUAAUCCACCUCAAUGUACGCUGGCCUGAUGAUGGUUAAUAUACCGAAAUCGAUUGCCAAAGAUUAAAUAAUUCAUUUCAACAGUGUGUUUUUAUCGUUCUUGAAAUUAUGACUAAACAUACUAUGGAAACAUUUAUCAACAAAA
Molecule: long non-coding RNA, 1026 nt
Organism: Harmonia axyridis
Lineage: Eukaryota; Metazoa; Arthropoda; Insecta; Coleoptera; Coccinellidae
Exons: 2
Source: RefSeq, a predicted model, not a curated record